RNAcentral lists this RNase P RNA (330 nucleotides) under Polysiphonia sp. Its description in RNAcentral is "rnpB". It matches the Rfam family "Bacterial RNase P class A", at positions 43 to 352 of the family's 367-position model. From Rfam's summary of the family: Ribonuclease P (RNase P) is a ubiquitous endoribonuclease, found in archaea, bacteria and eukarya as well as chloroplasts and mitochondria. Its best characterised activity is the generation of mature 5'-ends of tRNAs by cleaving the 5'-leader elements of precursor-tRNAs. Lineage: Eukaryota; Rhodophyta; Florideophyceae; Ceramiales; Rhodomelaceae. The record is from RNAcentral.
GAGGAAAGUCCGGGCUCUAUUUAUAAAACUAUAGUUGUAUAAAAUACAAUGUAGGUAACUAUGAGGAUCGUGCCACAGAAAUAUACCGCCUUAUUGCGAGGUAAGGGUGCAAUGGUUCGGUAAGAGCGUACCAGGGAUAUCUUCAAAGUAUUUGCUAGGUAAACCCCGUAUUUGAGCAAAGAAAAUAGUUUGUUGUAAUGAGUAUUUAUAAAUUUUACUGCUUUAUAUUCUAAUUAUAUAUACUGCAUAAAGUAAUUAAUUUACUGAAGAUUAAUAAUUACCCUUUUCAUUGUAAAAUUUUAUAUUUGGAAAGAACUAAACCCGGCUUAU